UGGGUACCUGACUGCCUUUGGGUAGUUGUG
This 30-nucleotide non-coding RNA is filed under the name Mus musculus (house mouse). Lineage: Eukaryota; Metazoa; Chordata; Mammalia; Rodentia; Muridae. The record is from RNAcentral.